GGCAGAUUCUGGGUGGCAUUACUCACAUUGAUGCUGCUGAUGCUAUUCACACUACCUAUGCUGUGGCAACUGUAUCCAGGGCAUGCUGCCAGAAGAUAUGUGGCAAAGCCGAUGAGACACUGACGAUUCAUUGGAUAAAAAAAGUUUAUUAACAGCAAGAGGACAGUCUAUUUUGCAGCGAGCGAAUGUCACCAAAAACCGAUUCGUUUGGCUUUCGAUUCCAAUAUUUGGUGACAUGACGGCUGCGGCAACAGAUUGAAAGGGUGGCGGAGCUGCCUCUGUUUGCUUGUUUGACAUGGUUUCUGGCCAAACCAGCAGCAAACCAAACCAAGCCCCAUCGGAUUGGCGGAGGUUGGGCCAGGACUCCGACAGGGCAGACCAGGACACACCAGGACAGGACGGGAGCUGAAUGCGUUAAGAGGCCUGACGUGGUCAACAUGACAGCUGCACUUUGUGGUGAUUUAUGUGUAUGACUGCGAAUGCCAGGUGAAAAAAUGUUUUUUUUUAUCACUAUCUGACAGACAGCCUGUAAUGCGCGCAUAAUGACAGCAUACAAAGCGAUUUGUAACAAUUCGCGAAUAGCUUAAUGAUUGUACAACAAGGCUUCUCGAUCAUCAAUCUUAAACAUAUUAGAAAUAAAUUUAAAAUUACGUUUCACACUUGACUUAUUUUAUGUUUAAUUUAUUAUAGUUAGAAUGAGGAUAAAAACAUUGUAUUACAAAUAAAGAAUUUAAUUAUU
Drosophila ananassae is the source of this 739-nucleotide long non-coding RNA. RefSeq lists it as uncharacterized. The transcript has 5 exons. NCBI's taxonomy places the organism in Eukaryota, Metazoa, Arthropoda, Insecta, Diptera, Drosophilidae. The record is from RefSeq and is a predicted model, not a curated record.